AAUAGCCUAACGGCUGAACCAGCAACUUGGAGGAAUGUAUAGCAAUAGCUGAUUGCACCAACAAAUAGUUGAUGCAAUAUUGACUCUGUCAAAUAAAAUUCUAGGUAGAAUUAUGAUAAUGACAUUGUCUGCCUAUAUGUCUUGACCAAAUUACGUGCCAGCAGUCGCGGUAAUACGUAGAAGACUAGUGUUAUUCAUCUUUAAUAGGUUUAAAGGGUACCUAGACGGUAAAUCAAGCCUUCACAGGGACUAAUUUACUAGAGUUACUUACGAGGGGGUAUUAAAGUACUGCAGGUGUAGAGAUGAAAUUCUGUCAUACCUCUUUUCAAAAGAAAAAUUAUGGCACAGGUAUAGGUGAAAGCAUCCCCUUAUGUGAUAACUGACGUUGAAGGACGAAGGCUUUGUGUCGCGAACAGGAUUAGAUACCCCAGUAGUCAAAGCAGAAAAUGAUGAAUGUCAUAGAUUAGAUAAAUAGUUUAUUCUAUAAAUGAAAAUGUAAGCAUUCCACCUCAAGAGUAAUUUGGCAACAUUGGAACUGAAAUCAUUAGACCGUUUCUGAAACCAGUAGUGAAGUAUGUUGUUUAAUUUGAUGAUCCGCAAAAAACCUUACCACAAUUUGAAUAUUUAUAUCCAUCUUUUUUUUUCGUAAAAAAAUAAAAAGGUAAUAUAUUUACAAGCGUUGCACGGCUGUCUUCAGUUAAUGUCGCGAGACUUUGGUUAGUUCCAUUAAAUUAACGUAAACCCUUACUUUAUUUUUAUAUGAAGUAGUUCCCCGCUAUAUUGGAUAUGAUAACAGGGACUAAG
RNAcentral lists this ribosomal RNA (804 nucleotides) under Lepraria pacifica. RNAcentral's name for it is "SSU rRNA". It matches the Rfam family "Bacterial small subunit ribosomal RNA", at positions 370 to 1172 of the family's 1533-position model. Lineage: Eukaryota; Fungi; Ascomycota; Lecanoromycetes; Lecanorales; Stereocaulaceae. The record is from RNAcentral.